AGUGAACGCUGGCGGUAGGCCUAACACAUGCAAGUCGAACGGCAGCACAGUAAGAGCUUGCUCUUACGGGUGGCGAGUGGCGGACGGGUGAGGUAUACAUCGGAAUCUACUUUUUCGUGGGGGAUAAAGUAGGGAAACUUACGCUAAUACCGCAUACGACCUACGGGUGAAAGCAGGGGAUCUUCGGACCUUGCGCGAUUGAAUGAGCCGAUGUCGGAUUAGCUAGUUGGCGGGGUAAAGGCCCACCAAGGCGACGAUCCGUAGCUGGUCUGAGAGGAUGAUCAGCCACACUGGGACUGAGACACGGUCCAGACUCCUACGGGAGGCAGCAGUGGGGAAUAUUGGACGAUGGGCGGAAGCCUGAUCCAGCCACACCGCGUGGGUGAAGAAGGCCUUCGGGUUGUAAAGCCCUUUUGUUGGGAAAGAAAAGCAUCAGGUGAAUACCCCGCUGUUCUGACGGUAGCCAAAGAAUAAGCACCGGCUAACUUCGUG
Molecule: ribosomal RNA, 492 nt
Filed under: uncultured bacterium
Lineage: Bacteria
Description: partial 16S ribosomal RNA
Rfam family: Bacterial small subunit ribosomal RNA
Source: RNAcentral